Molecule: ribosomal RNA, 606 nt
Filed under: uncultured bacterium
Lineage: Bacteria
Description: bacterial SSU rRNA
Rfam family: Bacterial small subunit ribosomal RNA
Source: RNAcentral
GCCUAACACAUGCAAGUCGAGCGGGAAAGGGGACUUCGGUCCCUGAGUGUAGCGGCGGACGGGUGAGUAACACGUGGGUAACCUACCCUCGGGUGGGGAAUAACCUAGGGAAACCUGAGCUAAUACCGCAUCAUAUCCCGGACUCAUAAUCGGGUUCGGGAUCAAAGCUGGGGACCCUUCAGGGGCCUGGCGCCUGAGGAGGGGCCCGCGGCCGAUUAGCUUAGUUGGUGAGGUAAUGGCUCACCAAGGCAACGAUCGGUAGCCGGCCUGAGAGGGCGGACGGUCACACUGGGACUGAGACACAGGCCCAGACUCCUACAGGGAGGCAGCAGUGGGGAAUUCUUGUCAAUGGGGGAAACCCUGAACAAGCAACGCCGCGUGGAGGAUGAAGGCCUUCGGGUCGUAAACUCCUGUCGGAGGGGACGAAAGCGGCUGGGGCGAAUAACCUCAGUUGUUGACGGUACCCUAGGAGGAAGCCCCGGCUAACUCCGUGCCAGCAGCCGCGGUAAUACGGGGGGGGCAAGCGUUGUUCGGAAUUACUGGGCGUAAAGGGCGCGCAGGCGAGCCUGGCAAGUCCUUCGUGAAAUCCCACGGUCAACUGUGGAA